UGUAAUUUCUUCUUUGAAUGAAUGAUGAAGGAGAUAUGAUGAGCGAAUGCAUUAAAGAAACUCAAGAGGAGUUUCCAUGGAUUGAAGUGGAGUUAGGAAUUUGUAAAAGUGAGAGGUGAGGCCAACUCACUGGGAAAGAGUCUAGGCUAAGUCUUGAAGGAGACUAACCUAGGGAGAACUUAAGAACAAGUACAAUGGCCAAAAAUAGGCAACAUUUCAUUACUAAUUCCAAGUUAAGGAAAUACAUGUAUAAGAGACUCCUAUUUAUAAGAGAAAGUCUAUAAAAAACUCUCAAAUGAGAGUGUGACAAGUGUCACCACCUUAUUGGUGCAAAUCCUCUCCAUUAAGGAGAAGACAUGUGGAGACUCAUGCCUUCCUUGCCUACAUUUCUAUUUGCACCCCUCUUUUACUAUUUUACACAUUACUUUGUUUUCUAUUUACAUAUUUCUCUACUUUGGCUCAAAACUUCCUAACUACUCUAUACAAUUUUUACAAGGCUAAGAAAAAAAAAAGACUUUACAAACUCUUCAUUAAAGCUUGAUCUUUGUCUAUCUUCUUGGUCGAAAGUUUUGAGGCUGAACGGUUUCCAUCAUCCUCUCCCUCUUGAAAAGGAUUUGUCCUCAGAUCUGAAUGAUGCUCAAUGACAACAGCCUCUGUUUAUUUGAUGUUUUCCUCCUGGGUCAAAUAUCAAUCUACACUAAACAUCAAACAAACAUGAGAUAAAUUCUUUUUUAAAAGAAAAUUAAAACAAAAGAAAACUAAACAAAAAUAAGGCCCUAAUUCUACUCCAGAAAAAGAGUUUUUUGUACUUUCCUUUUCUAUCAUCACUUUUUUCUCUCUUUUCUUUCUCUUCUCUAUCUUUCCUUUCGUUCUCCUCUCUUUCCCUUUUCUCCUUCUCUUAUUUCUUUAUGACAAGAGCUUGGAAUUUUUCUCUAAACUCUUUUUCUCUUCUAACAUAUUCUUUUUCUCUAUAUAUAAAAUUUCUUCCUUUCUCUACAAGCUCUUUCAUUUCUUCUCUAAGCCUUUUCUUUUUCACAUAUGAAGGUGGAACAAACUUUCUUCUCAUACACAUCUUCAACUCCUCCCAAUUAAGUACUUCUGAUGCCAUUUAUAACAUCAGUUUCCCUUUUUGUCCACCAAGACCUAGCAUAUUCUUGAAAACUAAAUAUGCUUCAACAUUUUUAUUUCCAUCAAAGUAAGAAACGUAUACUUUAGGCUUGGUAGAAUAAUAUAAAUUUCUAGGCUCAAAACACAUCCCUUCCUUUUUUUUGAUAAUGAGGGUUAUAAAUCUUUCUUCUAUGACUAUGCUCCUCAUCUCUAUGACUAUUUCCUUUUUGGCCCAGUUUUUCAUAUCUAUACCCUAUCUUCCUUUCUUUUUCCAGGUCUUUUGGAAGUUCUAUACCUUGUUUUUCUUUAACUUUUCUCUCUUUUUUUUGCCUUAAAAUUCUAGGUUCCUUCUCAAGAAUGGCAAGACAGAUAUCUCUUUCAAUCUUUUUCUUUACUUGUUGAAUAAUCUCUUGUUGCCUCCACAGUUGAAGUGACUUAAGUUCUUGAGAAUUAUUUUUCAAUUGCUUUGAUGAAGAAUUUGAAUCACUUCUACUAGGAUAAGAAGUAAACAUAGACAUAUUAAGCUUUGUAUUUAAAAGAUUUUUCACAAGAAGGAAAGUGAGUUUAGCACACAAGGUAAAUUCUCAGGAAAGAGAGGUGGAUCACAAUGGACACUCUUAAGUACCAAGUCUUUCCUAGCCAAAACUUAUCCGAAUGCACUUCACAAAUCUCCUUCCAAUGAAAACUUCUUCAACACAAACAAAGAGUUUUCUAAAAAAAGAAACUAAAAGAAAGCUUUUAAAAACUAAGAAUUUAAAUUGCAAAAUUUUAAACUAGACGACUCCUAAUGGUGAGGCAUGUUGGCACUUGUGAGCCUUCAAGACACUCACCGUUUAAAGCGUGCAUCUAAUAAGCAAAUUAAAGAAAACUUAUAGGAGAUGGAAGAACACCAAAGGCUCUUCCAAGACACCUAAAGUAAAGAUAAUGGCCAAAUUACACAACAAUUGAAAUCACACAAAAUUUUAAAAAAAUAAUCUUCAAAGUUUUUUUCUUUUCUCUCAAUAAGUGUUUCCCUCUAAAGCCUUUACUUGUUUGUCCUCCAAAGGUGAGUACCCCUUGCAAAGUCCUUUGCCUUCUCUUAGGAUGCUACCUAGAGGUUAGCUCAAUUAUCACAAAGAACAAAUUCAAGGUAUAUUCCACUUCAAGAGGUCAAUAAUAAAAGCAAUAAAAGCUCAAUUUGAAGAGUGAAACUCAAGGGAGAUUAGAGAUGACAAACACAAAGAUUAUCCAUAAAAUCAAGACAAACAAGAAAUUAAAGGUUUUCAAGAAAGUAGGCAAUCAAAAGGAAACACCUAAAGAUAGCCACUAGAAUGGAUUACAAAAUUAAAACAAAGAAUAACCAAAUAUUUUUAAUAGAGCAUGAAACCCAAAAUGUGGUUGGCCCAAUGUAACUUGGCUGAAAUUAAAAGUUGUAAUGCUGUUUGUCGUACCUCCAAAAUUACUGCACUAAAAUUCUUCAAUUAGAAUUGUGCAGCCCAAGUAAUAGUGCAACACGGUUUUGGCCCAAAAUGCUUCACUACAGCCAAUUAAAUUCUGUUGUCACGUUUUGUUCCAAUUAAAUUUCUUGCGGUCCAAAAAUUCCUUCAAUUGUAAACUGCUCCAGCUUGUUUUAGGAAUAAAACUAAAUCAAAUUUCAUUGUACACCAAUUUCAUUCAUCAAAGGAUUUCAACAAAUCAUGGACCCCACCGUGUUUAUGACCGUGAACCACUGCCAAUUCAUCCAAAUCACCACAUUACUAUAUUAUCGGUUGGGCCCCACUGAUUGCAAGCCAUUUCAAUUUCUUGAUGCCUGCACUUCCAACGUUGAAUUAACUAUCUCAAAUGAAUUCACCAAUCAACAAAUCACUAACCCAAAACUUCAGACAUUGCACAAAGUUUUGCACGAAUAGCAAAAUCAGAAAUGGCACCAAAUCAUCGUGUUUACUGUUUAAUAUUUCCAAUAGUUGUCUGCAUUCAUUCAAUCUUGUUGCUCACGCUAAUACAAUUAAACAAACUAUACCACUUUAAUUUGCAGCACCAAAUUGAAAAUGAAAACUGCACCAGAAUUUUACACCAAAAAUCAGAAAUAUCAGUACCAAAAUCUACCGUGUUCUGUUUCAACAAAUCCAAGAUUGAUCAAAGCAUCAUAAAUUGUCUCUAAUUUGGUUAAUAUGCAGCACUGCAACUCCAAAUCAAUCUUCAAUUUCCAGCUAUUCAAUUGAAUUAGCACCGCUUGCUUCACAACUGUGAAUUUAUCCCAAUCCAAUCAACCAAGAAUCUUCCACCAAGAGCACCAAAGAUCAAAUGAAAUUCAGAGACACAGUUUCAAUUAGAAACUACAACAGCAAAACCAGAAAUACAAAGAAGCUUGAUUCCAAAUGAAUUGAGCCAAAACAAUUUAUCAUGCACUUUCUCUGCAGUUUAACCAAAAUACAAACUGCUUCAUACUUCACCACUAAUCAAUUACUAACACUGCCAGCUUCAAAUAAAAAUUGUUUCACACCCAGCUUCAAAUCACAGAUUCAAGUUGAUGAAAAAUCAGCUACCAAAAUCAGCACCAGAAUCUCCAAAAGAAAUCAGAAAAACUCAACCAGAGAAUGUGCCAAAUCAAAGAACAAAUCAUAAACUGUCUCUAUUUCAAGAAUUCGUUGUUCGUCGUUUUCUCGUGCACUCAACAAACAAAAAUUGACAAGAAAUUGUACCAUCAAUUUGUACUGUGAUAGAUUUUCCAGUGAAAAGCAAUGAACCCUUUCAAGUAAAAUUUCUUCGAUCCUAUUUCGUUCGUCACCGGAACGAUUCCGUGUUUGCACCGUUUCAACUUCUCCACCGUAGGAAAACCUGAUUUAGGUCACCGGGAAUCGCAACUGCCAUUCAACGGUUCAUAUCGCACCCAUGAAUCAAUUCAUUCUUCACUGCUUGAUUCUUCGAUUUUCGAUUCACCAAACCAACUGCCGUUUGCGAUUCCUCCGUUCACAAUUCCUCCGCGCGCGAUUCCGAUUUAGGUCAUCGGAAAUCACAAACCUCCGUUUGGCACCGUUAAUAUUCUUCAAUCAAUCUUCGCACACCGAUUCAAGAUGAAGCCGAAGAAGAAAAAUGAUGCAGAAGAUGAAGAACAACAAUGCAAAUCGCAGAGAAAUUUUCAAGAAUAAAGUCCGAGAAACCUAAACCAGAUCUGCUAUUCGUACCUCUGGAUUCACUGUCCGCACCAAAGAACCAAUGAGAUAUCCAAACAGACCUAGAUACUCUUCACACCUUAGAAAUUUCUUUUUGAACCACAAACAAUUUUCGGACUAAAAAAUCAAAAGCGCUCAAGAGCUCUAGUCUAUGAAGAAAUUUGAAAAAAAACUUCAAAAAAGUUCAACUAAUGGAGUUUAUGACAAAUUUGGACUAAACAUGACUCUAGACAAAACAUUUAUGAUUAUAAAAUCAAAAUGACUCAAAUAUAAAAAAUUUCACCGAACAAAUUUGAAGAAAACUAAAAAAAAUUCAAAAGCACACAUGAAUAUGAACAAAAGAACACCUAAAAGCACAUACAUGAAGGUUCAAGUAAGAACAAUUAAUUUGAACCGAACAAAAAGACAAAAAACACAAAAUCAAUCGGUAAACAUUCAAGACAAUCAAGAAAAUUAUGAAAAACACGGAAAUUAGAAAAAAAUAGAAGAAGAUCAUACAACCACACCAAAUGAUGGAAAACUGUUCUUCUUAUAGUAGUGAUCUUUGUAAUUUCUUCUUUGAAUGAAUGAUGAAGGAGAUAUGAUGAGCGGAAGCAUUAAAGAAACUCAAGAGGAGUUUCCAUGGAUUGAAGUGGAGUUAGGAAUUUGUGAGAGUGAGAGGUGAGGCCAACUCACUAGGAAAGAGUAUAGGCUAAGUCUUGAAGGAGACUAACCUAGGGAGAACUUAAGAACAAUAAGAAUGGCCAAAAAUAGGUAGCAUUUCAUUACUAAUUCCAAGUUAAGGAAAUAAAUGUAUAAGAGACUCCUAUUUAUAGGAGAAAGUCUAUAAAAAACUCUCAAAUGAGAGUGUGACAAGUGUCACCACCUUAUUGGUGCAAAUCCUCUCCAUUA
This 5150-nucleotide long non-coding RNA is filed under the name Phaseolus vulgaris (common bean). RNAcentral's name for it is "long non-coding RNA (PVUL_LNC003041)". The record is from RNAcentral. Lineage: Eukaryota; Viridiplantae; Streptophyta; Magnoliopsida; Fabales; Fabaceae.